RNAcentral lists this long non-coding RNA (1315 nucleotides) under Pogona vitticeps (central bearded dragon). RNAcentral's name for it is "lncRNA (ENSPVIG00000004364.1)". Lineage: Eukaryota; Metazoa; Chordata; Lepidosauria; Squamata; Agamidae. The record is from RNAcentral.
CAUGUACGUUUACACACAGAGCAAUGCUCCUUAGCAAGGCAAUAAGGGGCGUUGUAUUUUUGUGUGUGUGCAUGUUUAGCAUUCAAAACGGUGGCCAUUCCUUGUGUGUGUUUGCACGUGUUCAUGCCCAUGAGAACUAUUUAUAGCAACCUUUAUGGUAGCUAAAUCCAUACACGUGGAAGGCAGGAGGGCCUGGCGUGCUCUGCUCCAUGGGGUCACGAAGAGUCGGACACGACUUGAACGACUAAACAACAACCACCAAAAUCCAUACAGGUACAAAUUAAGAAGAAAACCGCUCCUGAGGGCGCCUACCGAAGGCAGUUACCUCCGUGUCAAUAUAUAACCUUCCCCACGUUCAGAAAUAUACCGUCAAUAAGGCUUGCGAGAGGGAAAGUUUGCUGAGGAGGGGGCUUUUUUUUUUACCUCAGGCGAGGAGGGGGCUUUUUUUUUUACCUCAGGCGCACGAGACAGAAGCCACCCGAGGCGCGCGCGCACUCGCGAAACACCUGUUUUUCUCCCGCCCGCCGGCCCUCGGGCCCCGCCCCUUCGUUACCAGAAGCCGCAGAUCUUUCCAUCACAGCAGCUUGGAGAUGGAGACCUUAGUUACCAGAAGCCUCAGAGAGGCCUUAGCAACGCCGCGGGCCAACGAGCGAGGCGGCCACGAGAUGGCGACGCCUCCCCGAGCGACGCCGGGGCGGUGGAAGGGAAAAAAAGAGAUCCCGCUCUCAAGUCUCGCGAGAGGCAGCGGGACUGUUCGCCGGGCUUUGGCGCCAGGCGCGAAAGAGAGGCUGCGCGGAGGUGCCACUGGGUGGUCGCCAUGGAGGCUCCCGCCGAGCGGACGGUGGCCGGGAGGGCCGCGAACUUGCCUUGGGUUGAAAAAUACCGACCUCAGACACUGAAUGAUUUGAUUUCCCACCAGGACAUUCUGAGUACCAGUAAGUAUUUGAAUAUUUGCAUCAUUGUUCUUGCUUGAUCAUCUCAGUGUUCUUGACUGAUCUUCUCAUCUUCUCAAAGCUUUGUGCACACACUGGCCCCUCUCAGUUUCCCACCAGGACAUUCUGAGUACCAGUAAGUAUUUGAAUAUUUGCAUCAUUGUUCUUGCUUGAUCAUCUCAGUGUUCUUGACUGAUCUUCUCAAAUCUUUGUGUACACACUGGCCCAUCUCAGUUGGAGGUAUUUGAUAAUGAUCCUCCCCACAAAUGAUAAAAGAGACAUCCAAGACUUUGCAAACUUAACCAACAAAGGGCUGUGUGUGCAUGUCAUUGUAAUAAGGUGAGACAGGAAAUAAACAAGAAACAAAAGAAAAAGGAGAGGCA